UGCACGGCACUGCGGUGGUUUCGGUAAUGACCACGGAGGACAAACGGAUGUGUCACAGACAACCUGAGGAGCUCUGUCUCGUACGUCUUUUGGCGCAACAUCCUGUUACGAAUUAAUAUCCGAUUAAUUCCUAGGGUCCCCGAAUGAUAUAGAAACUCAAGCUGGAAGUUGUCGCUUUAUUGCUGGGGUAAAUCACUGUGGUGCGAUUUAAAUCUGAAAAGAAGUGACAGGGUGCGCGGCUGCUUGCACAGACAUCAGAAUAGGAGGCUGAACCAGAGUGGGACAAUCUCGAGUGUGUUUGACAGACUAUGGACUUCAUUUCCCAUCAGCCCCUCCAAAAGGCACUGCCACCUUUCCGCCCCCAGAUCUUGUGACAGAAGAAAUGCAUUUGCUACGAAGUUAAUGAGAAGUAAAUCUUACCAAAUAAUAUAUACUUACAACAAAGCUUUUUCAGUAUUACACCUUUAUCAUUUAGUUGUGAAAUUGUUAUGUCAGAAAUUAAUAUCCGGGCCACUCAGAAUUGAUAUUUUGUGCUCAUUUAAACAUUUUAAUCAGCCUAGUUCAUCAUAACUGAUGCUUUAUGUUCUCAACUAAUUGAUUUUGGGGAUGAACAGUGGGCUCUAACCUUCUGAAAGUGUGGAUCCCUGCUCACUGAAGCCAAAAUGAAAGGCUCAGUGUUCGCCGAUCCAACCACUGUACAGACUGAAGACAGCGAAUCUGCGCAGCGCCAGAUUUGCAGUGACGUCAAUGGAUAUCGCUGUGUGCAGAAUAUUUCCUGCGCCUACGUUUCCUACUUCCUGUUGAAACCAUGAUGUGGAUUAAAGUGGACAUGCAGUACAAGUGGAGUAACAGGUGGAUAGUCCGUAGGGAUGGUGAGUAAAACAUUCCUGUAGUAAGAACCUUUUGGGCUUUGAUGGUGAAGUGGCUCGGCCCGCUGCUGUCUCUGCUAACUCAGUGUGGAAGUCCAGCGCGGGCGAUGACAGUGUGAAAUCCAAACAGCAUAACUUCAGCAUCCAGCCUGAGAAGCGCGGGGGCAGAGAGCCCCGGUUCCUCAGAGGGGGAGGCUGACAGGAGAGGGCAGGUGUUCGUGACGCUCCACUCGCUUCCCCGUAUCUCAGGGAUGUUCAUUAGCCUUUCAGUUCUCCCGGGGGGAACGACUCUCUGAAAUAUCCCCCGCUCUCCUACGCACUGCCACGCAGUGCUGAUUAGCACCCAGAAUGAGCCCACUCAAGACUCCAUGAAUGCUAACUGGUAAUAAAAACGUACGCUGGUUUUAUCUGAGCCGUGUGUGGGCUCCGUGCGUCCAGCUUGGGCACGUGCGCGCUCGCCAUCCCUGUGCUAUGCCCCGCAAACACGCGGCUCGCUUACGGCGCUGCUGCUGGAGUCUCGCGGCUCGUCUACGGCGCUGCUGCUGGAGUCUCGCGGCUCGUCUGCGGCGCUGCUGCUGGAGUCUCAGUGUUUCUCUCCACUGUGAAGGCUCACGGGCGGCCGUUUGCCUCCUGCAGGGCGGCCGCAGCUGCUCGUCUCGCUUUGCGCGCUGGAUUCUUCCCUUUGGCACCGUGCUCUGUCUUACACAGAGAGCCUCCCUUACGCUGUUUCUAAUGAUACCCAACCCGUCUGAGACCAAACCUCUAACCAGAAACACCAAGUUAUGAACCAAACAAACAAACAAACAAAAACAAGCCCAGAAACUGAACAACUCUUAAUACCUUAAAACACGGGAAUAAUCCUGAAAUCUUUGUUUUCAUUGUAUCAUGAUCGUAUCAGAGGUAGUGCCUAUCUGAGUUUGGGAAGCACAUUUUAAAUCUUGUCUUGUGAAGUGCAACUCUUUCUUGUUAAAAAUCAGUGGCAAAACUGGUCCUAAAACAUUACAUUACAUUAUAGGCAUUUAGCAGACGCUCUUAGUUAAAAACAAAAAGGAUAACACUUCCGUGGCAAGAUGAGAGUGUAAGUGUGUAUUGCUCUCUGUGUGCUAGCAUAGGGCUUCAUGGCCUUGGAUGGGUAUAUAAAGUACAGUACAUGUUACAGAUACGCUGAUAAUUGCAGAUCAUGUUUGUCAUACUGCAGUUGUCGGGCACUUUAAGUCCGCUUGGUGAAAGGGUAAAGCAUGGCAAUCUUUUCUGGAAUGGAUUAUAAUUGGCCUGUUACUAUUUUAAUCUUUAAGCUUUACUUGUCUGUUUGGCAUUUGUCAUUUUUCAGUCCUGUGGGUAUCGCCUAACAAGACACCAGUAGGAGUACAGGGGCGGGCCCUGAACACCACGGGCUGUGCAGUGGGCCCUGAACACCACGGGCUGUGCAGUGGGCCCUGAACACCACGUGCUGUGCGCUGACUGUGAGCGUGUGGAGUUAAUGUGGAAUUAGCUCUCUGUAUUGCCUGUAUCUAUAUUUGUCUUACUUUUUAGAAAAAUAAUUGAUUUCUUUUUUU
Anguilla anguilla (European eel) is the source of this 2425-nucleotide long non-coding RNA. RefSeq lists it as uncharacterized. The transcript is spliced from 3 exons. NCBI's taxonomy places the organism in Eukaryota, Metazoa, Chordata, Actinopteri, Anguilliformes, Anguillidae. The record is from RefSeq and is a predicted model, not a curated record.